AGUGCAUCUGGUGGAUGCCUUGGCGAUCACAGGCGAUGAAGGACGUGUAAGCCUGCGAAAAGCUUCGGGGAGCUGGCAAUAGAGCGAUGAUCCGGAGAUGUCCGAAUGGGGAAACCCACCUAGCAAUAGGUACUCUCUGCUGAACACAUAGGCAGAGUAGAGCGAACGCGGAGAACUGAAACAUCUAAGUACCCGCAGGAACAGAAAUCAACCGAGAUUCCGUCAGUAGUGGCGAGCGAACGCGGAACAGCUUGUACGUGUUAUGGAUUGUGUUAGUGGAAGGCUCUGGAAAUGGCCGCCAUAGUGGGUGAUAGCCCCGUACACGAAAACGCAUUCCAAGGACUAGGCGUACGACAAGUAGGGCGGGACACGCGAAAUCCUGUCUGAAGAUGGGGGGACCAUCCUCCAAGGCUAAAUACUCGUGAUCGACCGAUAGUGAACCAGUACCGUGAGGGAAAGGCGAAAAGAACCCCGGGAGGGGAGUGAAAUAGAACCUGAAACCGGAUGCAUACAAACAGUGGGAGCCCUGUAAGGGGUGACUGCGUACCUUUUGUAUAAUGGGUCAGCGACUUACGUUCAGUAGCGAGCUUAACCGAAUAGGGGAGGCGUAGGGAAACCGAGUCCGAACAGGGCGAUUGAGUUGCUGGGCGUAGACCCGAAACCGAGUGAUCUAUCCAUGGCCAGGAUGAAGGUGCGGUAACACGCACUGGAGGUCCGAACCCACUAGUGUUGCAAAACUAGGGGAUGAGCUGUGGAUAGGGGUGAAAGGCUAAACAAACUCGGAGAUAGCUGGUUCUCCCCGAAAACUAUUUAGGUAGUGCCUCAUGUAUCACUUCCGGGGGUAAAGCACUGUUAUGGCUAGGGGGUCAUUGCGAUUUACCAAACCAUGGCAAACUCAGAAUACCGGAAAGUGCGAGCAUGGGAGACAGACGGUGGGUGCUAACGUCCAUCGUCAAGAGGGAAACAACCCAGACCGCCGGCUAAGGUCCCAAAUGAUCAGUUAAGUGGUAAACGAAGUGGGAAGGCCCAGACAGCCAGGAUGUUGGCUUAGAAGCAGCCAUCAUUUAAAGAAAGCGUAAUAGCUCACUGGUCGAGUCGUCCUGCGCGGAAGAUGUAACGGGGCUCAAACUGAUAACCGAAGCCGCGGAUUUGCACUUAGGUGCAGAUGGUAGGGGAGCGUUCUGUAGGUCUGUGAAGGUGUGUCGUAAGGCAUGCUGGAGAUAUCAGAAGUGCGAAUGCUGACAUGAGUAGCGAUAAAGCGGGUGAAAAGCCCGCUCGCCGAAAGCCCAAGGUUUCCUACGCAACGUUCAUCGGCGUAGGGUGAGUCGGCCCCUAAGGCGAGGCUGAAAAGCGUAGUCGAUGGGAAACGGGUCAAUAUUCCCGUACUCUCGUAUAGUGCGAUGUGGGGACGGAGAAGGUUAGGUCAGCCAGGUGUUGGACGUCCUGGUUUAAGCCGGUAGGUGGGAGCGGUAGGCAAAUCCGCCGCUCUAUUAACACCGAGACGUGAUGACGAGGCUCUACGGAGCCGAAGUGACUGAUACCACGCUUCCAGGAAAAGCCACUAAGCUUCAGCUAUACGAGAACCGUACCGCAAACCGACACAGGUGGGCAGGAUGAAAAUUCUAAGGCGCUUGAGAGAACUCAGGAGAAGGAACUCGGCAAAUUGAUACCGUAACUUCGGGAGAAGGUAUGCCUCUUAGGGUGUAGGACCUCGCGUUCGAAGCCUCGAGAGGUCGCAGAGAAUCGGUGGCUGCGACUGUUUAUCAAAAACACAGCACUGUGCCAACACGAAAGUGGACGUAUACGGUGUGACGCCUGCCCGGUGCCGGAAGGUUAAGUGAUGGGGUGCAAGCUCUUGAUCGAAGCCCCGGUAAACGGCGGCCGUAACUAUAACGGUCCUAAGGUAGCGAAAUUCCUUGUCGGGUAAGUUCCGACCCGCACGAAUGGCGUAACGAUGGCCACACUGUCUCCUCCUGAGACUCAGCGAAGUUGAAAUGUUUGUGAAGAUGCAAUCUCCCCGCUGCUAGACGGAAAGACCCCGUGAACCUUUACUGUAGCUUUGCAUUGGACUUUGAACAGACUUGUGUAGGAUAGGUGGGAGGCUAUGAAACCAGGACGCCAGUUCUGGUGGAGCCGCCCUUGAAAUACCACCCUGGUGUGUUUGAGGUUCUAACCUUGGUCCGUGAUCCGGAUCGGGGACAGUGCAUGGUAGGCAGUUUGACUGGGGCGGUCUCCUCCCAAAGUGUAACGGAGGAGUUCGAAGGUCACCUAGGUACGGUCGGAAAUCGUGCUGAUAGUGCAAUGGCAAAAGGUGGCUUAACUGCGAGACCGACAAGUCGAGCAGGUGCGAAAGCAGGACAUAGUGAUCCGGUGGUUCUGAAUGGAAGGGCCAUCGCUCAACGGAUAAAAGGUACUCCGGGGAUAACAGGCUGAUUCCGCCCAAGAGUUCACAUCGACGGCGGAGUUUGGCACCUCGAUGUCGGCUCAUCACAUCCUGGGGCUGUAGCCGGUCCCAAGGGUAUGGCUGUUCGCCAUUUAAAGUGGUACGUGAGCUGGGUUCAAAACGUCGUGAGACAGUUUGGUCCCUAUCUGCAGUGGGCGUUGGAAGUUUGACGGGGGCUGCUCCUAGUACGAGAGGACCGGAGUGGACGCACCUCUGGUGUACCGGUUGUCACGCCAGUGGCAUUGCCGGGUAGCUAAGUGCGGAAGAGAUAACCGCUGAAAGCAUCUAAGCGGGAAACUCGCCUGAAGAUGAGACUUCCCUGAGGACUUGAUCCUCCUGAAGAGUCGUUCGAGACCAGGACGUUGAUAGGUCGGGUGUGGAAGCGCUGUGAGGCGUGAAGCUAACCGAUACUAAUUGCUCGUGAGGCUUGAUC
RNAcentral lists this ribosomal RNA (2876 nucleotides) under Pseudogulbenkiania sp. MAI-1. RNAcentral's name for it is "bacterial LSU rRNA". It matches the Rfam family "Bacterial large subunit ribosomal RNA". The record is from RNAcentral. Lineage: Bacteria; Pseudomonadati; Pseudomonadota; Betaproteobacteria; Neisseriales; Chromobacteriaceae.